GCUUUGAUGGGGUAGUGGUAACCUGGAUCGUUGCCAUAGAACUAGUUCAUUGAGUAUCUCGAUCCGCCGGGGGUUCGAUUCCCCCUCAAAGCA
Non-coding RNA from Tulasnella sp. 427, 93 nucleotides. Lineage: Eukaryota; Fungi; Basidiomycota; Agaricomycetes; Cantharellales; Tulasnellaceae. The record is from the annotation of a GenBank genome assembly.